CAUUCAUGUACAAGUCCAUGCAUGUCAAUUAUUUGAUAAAUUGUCUUAGUAAAUGAAUUAUGGAUAUAUGUGUGGCCAUUGUGGUGCUUUAUAACUUGUACUUCACGAAUACUACAACUUAUUAUAUUAUGGAUUGUUGAUUUUGGUCAUGUAAUCAAGAAAGUAAUACUUUGUCAGUUUCUUUCCAUUGAGUCCUGGGGGUACUUACUCCUGA
Molecule: long non-coding RNA, 214 nt
Filed under: Capsicum annuum
Lineage: Eukaryota; Viridiplantae; Streptophyta; Magnoliopsida; Solanales; Solanaceae
Description: long non-coding RNA (CANN_LNC015396)
Source: RNAcentral